Molecule: long non-coding RNA, 199 nt
Filed under: Physcomitrium patens
Lineage: Eukaryota; Viridiplantae; Streptophyta; Bryopsida; Funariales; Funariaceae
Description: long non-coding RNA (PPAT_LNC010143)
Source: RNAcentral
UGGUUUCUCAAAUUUGGCUUUGUCUAACCAAAUAAAAUGACUAUGUUAUUCAAAAAUUCCUAAAGUUGAUUUUUUGCUAUUAACAAGGAGGUGCAUAGAAGACUGUGAUUGAUAUGAGAUCUAAUUAGAAUAUACAACCAUGGCAAUAAACAACAAAUAUAAGAAUGAAACUAGCUAAUCUUGUGUAUAAAUUAGAAUG